RNAcentral lists this ribosomal RNA (466 nucleotides) under uncultured bacterium. Its description in RNAcentral is "partial 16S ribosomal RNA". It matches the Rfam family "Bacterial small subunit ribosomal RNA", at positions 28 to 507 of the family's 1533-position model. The record is from RNAcentral.
GACGAACGCUGGCGGCGUGCUUAACACAUGCAAGUCGAACGGAAAGGCUCGAGCUUGCUGGGGUACACGAGUGGCGAACGGGUGAGUAACACGUGGGUGACCUGCCCUGCACUUCGGGAUAAGCAAGGGAAACUGGGUCUAAUACCGGAUAGGAACAUGAUAUGGAUAGUGUGGUGGAAAGAUUUUUCGGUGUGGGAUGAGGGCGGGGCGUAUCAGAGUGUUGGGGGGGUAAUGGUUUACCAAGGGGGCGAGGGGUAGCCGGCCUGAGAGGGUGGACGGCCACAUUGGGACUGAGACACGGCCCAGACGCCUACGGGAGGCAGCAGUGGGGAAUAUUGCACAAUGGGCGGAAGCCUGAUGCAGCGACGCCGCGUGGGGGAUGACGGCCUUCGGGGAGGAAACUCCUUUCACCGUCGACGAAGAGUUUCUGACGGUAGAGGGAGAAGAAGCAACGGCUAACUACGUG